Molecule: long non-coding RNA, 2538 nt
Filed under: Toxoplasma gondii VEG
Lineage: Eukaryota; Apicomplexa; Conoidasida; Eucoccidiorida; Sarcocystidae
Source: RNAcentral
AUCGACCGCGCGAGCUUCAGGAAACAAGGUGGGGCAGCGCCUCUUUCCAGAACGAAAGAUAGGAAAGCGAAUGUUUCACUCGAAGGCCCGCGAGGACAGGUCUUCGAAAAUGUUGGGGUUUGGCGUGACUUCUCGAAAAAUGAGGCAAACGGACCUCUGUGUGUUGAAGUCUCCGUGUUUCCUGUAACGGUCCCGUCCUCACAUCUUGUCUUUUUUCGAAGCUCGUCCAGCUAGAAAACACAGCGCAAGAACAGGGCCUGGACUCUUACUCGACACAAAACGACUGCACUUCAUCCUUUCUUGAGAGAGCGGAUCCACGCUCUUCUGGAACACAGUUCUGACGCUCUGUUUUGUGUGCGUUGCCAACCACGUUUCUUCAAGGAAAUUCUCUCCGUUUUCCACGCCAUCUGGGUGGCCUGUCGCGGUUGUGUUUCGAGGAACUGACUUUCAUAAAGCACAAAAUGGAGAGAGUUCAGUUUCCUUUUGAAAACCAUCGUGUCGGACUCUCGGUUGCCCUCUAGGUUCAAUAUGGACAAAGUCCCUGCUACCACACUCGUAACCAGAGAGAGAGACAGAGAAAACAGACUCAGAUGCUCGACAGCGAGCAGAGCCAUCGUACUGGGAGAAAGCAUCUCUGAGAAGUCCUAUACGCUUUUUCUGGCGCUUCGACACCACACAAAGCUGCGCUGCAGCUUGAGAUGGUGAACGUAUCGUGUUUUCUCCGGAUCCCAGGUUUCUUGUGCUCUUGUAAGACUGGGUCUCACGCCGCUUGUCCAGCGCCAGUGGCAGCAUCUGCGCAUGACGUGUUAAGUUCGGCGGAGGCUCCCACCGCAGUCUCUCGAACGUUUCAUGCCGGCUUAGUGCCGAGGACGUAACUUCUUGUGAGAGCCGCCGGCUGCAAGGCGGAUAUGGAGUGUGGCAGAAAGAGGUGGAAACAAAAAGAAAGGCGCGUUCUGCACUUGAGGCGACUCUCUACUGGCGGGAGGAGAGGCGCGUCAAAAAAUAGGGAGAGCCGCAAGAGAGCUUCUUCGCUGUCAGCUACAGAGUCGCGGCGUUCUGCAUUCCGACCAUGCGCGAGGUUUGAAGAAGUGGAGCAUCAGUCGGCAGGGAGGUGCGCCAGACAGGACAAAGUGCACCAAAGUGGACCACCGUGUGUUCACAAGAGAGUGGAGAGAAAGGGGGGUUUGGUGAAAACGAAACACAAUUUUUGACACAAAAAUCGGUCUCCUACUCUACGCUUCUUCCACUUUCCGUUUCUUCUUGCCGCGACGAUCUUCGCUGUCCCGAACAAAGUCCCCAAAGACGUUCUCCAUCGCGAGAGGGCUCUCCUCGAUGUGCAGCUUGUCCAGCCGCUCCUGCAACCAAGCACAGCACAGACCUUCUUCUGUUUCUCUGCCUCUCGAAAAAACACGGUUCACCGCUCAAAAGAAACUCGGGAUCUUCGAACAGCGCCGUGCUCGUCUCCCUUUCUAACGCAGUUCUUUUGACGCAGUUCUUUAAACGCGCGCCUUUUACACAUUUCUUCUCCGCUCGGCUUCGACCGGCCAUCGGCGGAGGUUCUUUACGGAGAAAAACGGCGCUUUUGGAGAGAACCCCCAAGUGUCUCCGUGAACGUCCACAGGUUUUGAAAGCGCCGCAACCUGUUUUGCGUCCCACACGCCUUUGCUGCCGAACUUUGUGCAGCGACGCCGACACAGGUGAAACAAGUGCAGUGGACAGGCGCCUGCGAGAGCUGACGGGAGUGCCCCAGCAGAGAGAGGAAACGGAUGGAAAAGAACGAACGUCGCUGAACUCUGUGAAGUGAGGACGCGCUCUGCACGCGCGUUUAUGCGGUGCCCACUUCGCUUUAUGUGAUCGCUUUAUGCUGAAGUCUCUAAACCUUGGUAGAGCACGAACAUAUGGAACUCCGUUUUGCCGGAAGCGGGAUUGGACUGCCUGUAACGUCUUUCUUCUCUUUAGGAGGAAACCUGGAAUGCUCAGAAACUUCAACUGGACGUACCGUGCGUUUUUCCUUAGCCUGAACUCGCUGGGCGUAGGACUGGGCGCGACCCAUGCGCUGAAGAGCGACGAGCUGAGAAGAGAAAAACAUUUGGACGGCGCAUGAGUUUCCGUUGUCCCAAAAGCAGUUGGGGCAGAGAAGAACACACGGCAAGGCAAGAAGACAAAGCUCUUUUUGACGCUUUCAAGCUCGUGCCUCGAGAAAUCCAACGUCGCCCCUCUCACCGUCUCUGUCUGGUUUCGGCAGACAAAAAGAGAGAGACAGAGAGACAGACAGACAAUACCGGUUUCCGAAAAAGGCAGGUAGACACGAACUCUUCUCUCGCGUUGCCUUCCGACUGAGCCGUCGAGUUGCUCAACUCUUUCAUCUCUUUUCAAACAUGCACCUCGAUUCGGAAACCAUCUCGGUUCGUCAGCAGAGACACACAAGCCGUCCUGUCGUCCACACUGCGUUUUUCUCUCUCUGUCUCCUCUUCUCCAGACACAUACAAACAGCGUGCGUCCUGCCCUGUCGGAUUCUUCUCUCCACAGCGGCAACAC